This 576-nucleotide ribosomal RNA is filed under the name uncultured bacterium. RNAcentral describes it as "bacterial SSU rRNA". It matches the Rfam family "Bacterial small subunit ribosomal RNA", at positions 102 to 694 of the family's 1533-position model. The record is from RNAcentral.
ACGGGUGAGUAACACGUGGGCAACCUGCCUUGUAGUGGGGGAUAGCCCUCCGAAAGGAGGAUUAAUACCGCAUAUUGUCACAUUGAGGCAUCUCAAAGUGAUGAAAGGAGUAAUCCGCUACAAGAUGGGCCCGCGGCGCAUUAGCUAGUUGGUGAGGUAACGGCUCACCAAGGCGACGAUGCGUAGCCGACCUGAGAGGGUGAUCGGCCACAUUGGGACUGAGACACGGCCCAGACUCCUACGGGAGGCAGCAGUGGGGAAUAUUGCACAAUGGGGGAAACCCUGAUGCAGCAACGCCGCGUGAGUGAUGAAGGUCUUCGGAUUGUAAAGCUCUGUCUUCGGGGACGAUAAUGACGGUACCCGAGGAGGAAGCCACGGCUAACUACGUGCCAGCAGCCGCGGUAAUACGUAGGUGGCAAGCAUUAUCCGGAUUUACUGGGCGUAAAGGGUGCGUAGGCGGAUUUUUAAGUGAGAUGUGAAAUACCCGGGCUCAACCUGGGGGCUGCAUUUCAAACUGGAAAUCUAGAGUGCAGGAGAGGAAAGUGGAAUUCCUAGUGUAGCGGUGAAAUGCGUAGA